This 1965-nucleotide unclassified non-coding RNA is filed under the name Leishmania donovani. RNAcentral's name for it is "gene:unknown". The record is from RNAcentral. Lineage: Eukaryota; Euglenozoa; Kinetoplastea; Trypanosomatida; Trypanosomatidae.
AAGACCUGAACGCUGCGGUGCGCUGCGCUGCCACUCCUUUGCAACGAUUGCAACUGCAGCAGGCUCGGCUCGCACCGCAAAGAGAAAGGCGUUGCUGCUUGGUGGUCCAUCGCGGCAGCACCCCUUCUUUUCUGCUGCUCGAGCUUAUGUCUAGCACCACAUCAUUCGCACCCGGAUGCUCCGUGGAAGCAGCUGAGCGAGCUGUGCACCGAUGCCGGGGCCUCAGCCGUUUUUCAGAUAGAGCCCCGGUCCUUCGUAAGUGCCGCACUGUUGCCCCCCCCCUCCUCUCCCCGGCACGCGCUGGAGGCUGCCGUGGGAAAGCGAUCCGGAGCAGCCUGCCGAAGCGCGGAGCAAGAAACCGAGCCGCGGCAAGUGACGCAGCAGCAGCAGGUGCUCAGGCUCUCUGUGCCUGACUCCUGACCCAUGUAUCGUUGCGUUUCCGAUGAAGGCCUAUCGACAUUAUGGGAGGCGGUCAAGAGCAAGCCACCUGCUCCGCGUUUAGACUGGGGACGGCACGAGCGGCUGCACAUGCGGGAGUGGCCACGCGCCUACAGUGGACUCACCGGCUUUGCCCGCACUAUCCGCGCGAAGGGCGCCCUAACCCUCGAGUGCAACCGUCAUGCCGCGGCGCGGCUGUAGGAGGAGCUGGCGGGCGUCUGCAAGGGCGCUGCCAACUACCACGCCGACUACGGUAACAGCGACGAUGGCGAGUGACAUGGCACAUCGACUCACUACUACUAUCAUGAGGUGGCACCGUGGUACGACCAGGAAGACAGGCGCGAAGGUGUUUUCCUUUUCUUUGCGGACAAUGGCUACGACAGCUCCGAUGAAGAUGAAGGGGACGAGCGCGAGAUGUUCUUUGGCGAGCGUAGACCGCCAACCGUGAUGAGAACGGGCGGCGGCAGUCAUGGCGUUGGUGGUGGCUGUGCUCCGCGCUACGUAGAUGCUGCCGUGAUGCAGCGAAUGGCCGAGCUGACGCAAGAGACAGCUCAGCUGCGUGGCGAGGUAGCACGGCUGCGAGAGGAACAGAAGCUUCAACGGUGAUGAGAAGAGGGGGAGAUGCGGGUGCUCCAUGGUCAGAGUCGGGGAAUCGAUUUGAGCGCCGAAUGGCGGGUGCGUCUCGACUGCACGGCGCAUGACGUCGCCGGCUAGCAAGGUCGCAUGUUUGAGAGAGAAGGCGCGGCACGAUCUCUGCGCGGCUCUGUCUCCGUGUCUGAUCGUUUCCAGUACGCCAUUCCUUCUUUUGCCGGUAUGUGUGUGUUUGCUCUUUGAUUCCCUCGCUUGCGGCUCCCUCGCUGUCCCACUCUGGUUUGCACAGCGGUGGGGCGCGCACUCCCAUGCGCUCGUCUGUGUGCACCGUAUGACGCGAGUGUGCAGCCCUCUCCCCUUGAUCACUGCUUUCGUGUACCUUGCUCUUUCCUUUCGGGCGCUGCUGCACACCUGUCAGCCCUCUUCCUGUUUACUUGAAAGAGGUGAGACAGCAGCGAGGCAGCUGUCUUCGUGCAACGUGAUGUGCCACUGACGCGAGCGUGUGUGGUCACCGUGCGUACGAGCACCACAGUAGCACCGACGAACGACAGAUUGACCUGACUCUGGGAACGCUACUACAAACGCCGUCCCUCUCUCCUCCUGGUGGACGAGGAGGGCAGGACGCGGCAGCGCACGGGUUUUCUGAGAGCCCAGUCCGCUGUGGUGUCGUCGAUCUCGUUCCUGGCGGUUGCUAUGCCAACUCUCACGCACACGGAGGGAAAAGGUUGUGUAGAGGCACUGUGAAGGUGAGCACCACCUGGUGCAAACCCAUGCCGACACCCUCGUCGUCAUGCUCUGCUCUGCAUGCGCCCGUGCGCCCUUCAACUCUUUCUCCUCGCGCUCGUGUCCCCCCACAUCAUGGACUUGUGGCGCGCUGGACAUCUGGAUCUGCUCCCCAUCCUCCCCGUCCUCCACUGCCUCUCUUGCAUCUCCUAG